GAUAUAUUCCCUCUGUCCGGAAAUACUUGUCCUAGAAAUGGUUGUAUCUAGACUUAUUUUAGUUAUAGAUACAUCCAUUUUCAACCAUUUGUAAGACAAGUAUUUCCGGACGGAGGGAGUAGAAG
This is a non-coding RNA of Triticum urartu, 125 nucleotides long. Lineage: Eukaryota; Viridiplantae; Streptophyta; Magnoliopsida; Poales; Poaceae. The record is from Rfam.